UACGGAGGGAGCUAGCGUUGUUCGGAAUUACUGGGCGUAAAGCGCGCGUAGGCGGCUUUGUAAGUUAGAGGUGAAAGCCCGGAGCUCAACUCCGGAACUGCCUUUAAAACUGCAUCGCUUGAAUCCAGGAGAGGUGAGUGGAAUUCCGAGUGUAGAGGUGAAAUUCGUAGAUAUUCGGAAGAACACCAGUGGCGAAGGCGGCUCACUGGACUGGUAUUGACGCUGAGGUGCGAAAGCGUGGGGGAGCAAACAGG
RNAcentral lists this ribosomal RNA (254 nucleotides) under uncultured bacterium. RNAcentral's name for it is "partial 16S ribosomal RNA". It matches the Rfam family "Bacterial small subunit ribosomal RNA", at positions 524 to 776 of the family's 1533-position model. The record is from RNAcentral.